AUCCAGUUGAAGCGUCCCAAAACAGGACGAAAUCCGCAUCCUGAAU
Molecule: non-coding RNA, 46 nt
Filed under: Trichobilharzia regenti
Lineage: Eukaryota; Metazoa; Platyhelminthes; Trematoda; Strigeidida; Schistosomatidae
Source: RNAcentral